AUAUACAAAUACAAAACUAAUGAAGAAGAGAAUGAGAUUGUAAUUAU
Molecule: non-coding RNA, 47 nt
Filed under: Trypanosoma brucei brucei
Lineage: Eukaryota; Euglenozoa; Kinetoplastea; Trypanosomatida; Trypanosomatidae
Source: RNAcentral